This 626-nucleotide long non-coding RNA is filed under the name Brassica napus (rape). RNAcentral describes it as "long non-coding RNA (BNAP_LNC019359)". Lineage: Eukaryota; Viridiplantae; Streptophyta; Magnoliopsida; Brassicales; Brassicaceae. The record is from RNAcentral.
AGUCAGUAUGACUCUCUCUCCUCUCUCUCGAACCUUCUCCACUGAAAUGGACUCGGUCUUAUCUUGAGAGAGAUCUCUGUUUGCUCCACCUCGCAAACGUCGCUCCGAUUGAAGAAGAUCUCGCCAGCUCCACCUCGAUAGCGUCGCAUCUUCUCCUCUCCAUUCUUCCCUCGAAGUCUCUUCGUCGAGCGGCGACUUACUUCUCUGAUGAUGGCUCACCCGAUCGUGACUCCAUCAUCUUUCCUCCCUAAUAUCCCCAGGUACUUCUCAUCUCUCCUUUUCAUGAGCGAUUAGGAUCAUCUGUUAGGGAUACUAAACGAGUCUUGUAGGUCUUGAGCUAACCCGUGAUUUUUUUUUUUCUUUUUUUUUUCUUUGCAUGUCGUCUCAGGUGGCUCGCGGCUCUGUCUCUAGACGCGAUUGAGAACCUGACAUGUCGGUGAGCUCUUACCUGAGCUCUAUCAUCACACUCCACCCCUUUUGUAGAUAAAGUAACCUCCUUUCUCAGCGACCCUUCUCUAAUAUGCUCUUCACUUGUCAAUCUGACUCUUCUGUUCUGUUUCAGGAGCCGGUUUUAGCUCAAUGACGAGCUCACCUAGUUUCAGUCUUGAAACCCUUCCUUGAUCGGA